RNA transcript from Bubalus bubalis (water buffalo), 1119 nucleotides. It is a transcript of the gene named membrane-spanning 4-domains subfamily A member 8, with no coding region annotated. Lineage: Eukaryota; Metazoa; Chordata; Mammalia; Artiodactyla; Bovidae. The record is from RefSeq and is a predicted model, not a curated record. The transcript is spliced from 6 exons.
CCGGAGGAAUGACUUUCCUGACUGCCCUCGUUUACAUAUGUGUGUGUGCGCGCGGGCGUGUAGCUGACUGUAUAAAGGCGGUGGAAUAUGUAAAACCUUCCCUCUUCAAAGCUCUACCGCAGGGGCCUGUGCGCUUCCAGCACUGCCGUCAUCUCCGCUCCACAAAAGAAUAAACAGGACCGACCGCCGUCAGCGGACCUUAUUUGAAUCAUGUGAAACGCGCGGUCUCGAGCAGGCAUUCCCGGGGCGCCACAGCCCCGCGCCGCCGACCCUCAGUUGCGGGGCGCGGGGACCGGGCCGUUGGCGACGCUGUGAGCACGCGGCCCGUGCCCUCCGCGCGUGCCCCGGUCCGUGAGGCUGCCCGCCCGCCACCGCAGCCUCGGCCUGGAGCCCGGGGCCCGCUGGAGUCCGCGGGGCCCCUCGCGCGGCGCCCCCCGCAGCCGGGCGCAGCGGGGCCGCAACCGCAGAGCUGGGCCGGGAGGGGGAUGGGGAACCUGCGCCCCCGGGUACCCGGCUGCGAGGCCCGCGGGCACAGCCUGCAGCGUCGCGCCGCUGUGGGCCUGCGUGUUGAUUUACCAAGCAAUUAUCAAAUUUCAACAAUUUACAAAUACAUUGCUAGAGCCAGACACUGCAGCCUGUGUGAAGCUUCGCGGCACCAAAGACGUGUACAGGCAGAUGCUUAAAAAUAAUUAGAUUUCAUUCAUUCUCUCUAACGCCUAUGUUACGUUUUGGAUAAGAUGCCACCAGAACACCUUGUGUUGAAAAAAGAAACCAGAAUGUUGGGGGCUGUCCAAGUAAUGAUUGGCCUGAUCAACGGUGCUCUGGGACGUAUCUGGCUACGUUUUUAUAUCAGACAAUUUGAAGAACUUUCCGUAGAGUAUAAGCCUAUAGCCUUGCUAUCAGGAUACCCAUUUUGGACAUUCUUGUUUGUAAUUUAUCGUAUCAGGAGUUUUAACAAUACAAACAGAGAAGAAGCGUUCCCCAAAUUUGGUCCUUGAUACAAGAAGUUCCUUUUAUUACAUACUAAAGAACGGAACCAUCAGGGCCUCGGUCCAGAGUGAAAAAGUUUAAUGGCAAAUGAAGAACAUCACCAAAAGUACAAGCGGCUUUCUAAAAACC